This 21-nucleotide microRNA is filed under the name Macaca fascicularis (crab-eating macaque). RNAcentral's name for it is "novel_miR86-3p". The record is from RNAcentral. Lineage: Eukaryota; Metazoa; Chordata; Mammalia; Primates; Cercopithecidae.
AUGACGUAGGCAGAAAGGCUG